AAAAAAAAAAAAAAGAAAAAAAAAAGAACUCGAAAAUAACAGCUCCCAUGUUUCCCGAUUGGGGGAGGGGACUUGGUAGGAUGACAUCAUGAACAGAGCACAGGCCCAGGAGCCAGGAGAACAGGUCUAGGCUCAUUCUGAACAAACCAUUUUAAACUCUCAGCCUCAGUUUCCCUUCCAUAAAAUAAGCCUGUUGGAAUAUUUCUUAAGUCCUUCCAGCCAUAAAAUUCUAAGGCUCUCCAGCAGGUUUGUUGCAGUGACAAAUAAAACGAGUGCUUUUAAAGUAGUAAAAGGCUGGCAUCCCCAUUGUAGCUCAAUGGGAAUAGCAGCACCCCUGGAGCGCUAGGAUGCAGGUUCUAUCUCUAGCCCCGCACAGUGGGUUAAGGAUCCAGUGAUACUGCAGCAAUGGCGUAGGUCGCAACUGCAGCUCAGAUCUGAUUCCUGGCCCAGAACUCCAUAUGCUGUGGGGGCAGCAAACCAUUUUUAAAAAAUUAAAUUUUAAAAAAGUAGUAAAAGGGGAUACGAAAUGAUUUUUCGAGUUCAUCCUGCCUCUGCACCAUGGCCCCACCUCUCACGAAUAGCUGCUGCAACGAACUUCUUUCUUAAAGCCAAACAGAAUGGCUGCUCUGGGAUGGAGCUACAAGGUGUAGGUGAGAGGCUGUCUACCUAGGGGGAGCUCCCUCCCCGCAUGGACAGAGAGCUUGGAAGAACACUGGGAGGGUGCGCACUUUGACAGGAAAGGAGGAAUGGGUAUUUAGGAGGCAUAGGUAUUGGAAAGCAAGUCCCCCUGUGUUACAUGAAGUCUUCACCACGCAGUGUCAUGGAUCCUGUGUUCCUGCAAGUGGAAAAGUAGCCUGUAUCUUUCUGCCUCCUGUGUUCAUGUCAUCAACAGGCCAGUGGUGGAGUUCCCGUUGUGGCGCAGUGGUUAACAAAUCCGACUAGGAACCAUGAGGUUGCAGGUUCGAUCCCGGGUCUCACUCACUGGGUAUUCUUGUGUUCGCUUAUGACAGCUUUCAAAAGAUUGAGAAAAGCGAUCCAGAAAACUGACCGAAGGAAGAUGAAAACCUCUGACGUUUCGGCUCUUGAUUAGAUUGAGAUAAAGAAAAAAACCUGCUUGAAGUCUGGCUGAAAGUCACAAAUGGAAGUCUGGCUGCAUCGCAGUGGAAGUGACACGGGCUGGUCUCAGGGUGGGUCUUUGGGGUUUGAAGCCUGAGGUCACCUCCUCAGAGCCCUGGGAACCCGGGUGAGUCUCAUCCGUAAUAGGGGGAUGACAGACUCACGGUUGUUGUGCAGAAGAUGUGUGAGUCCACUUUGGGGACGAAAACGAUAUCAUUAGAAUUCUAAGAAAAUGUGAGAAACUAUUUGUAAAAUGAAAAAAAUGAUGCAAAAGUUAUUGCUGUAGAGGCUACAGGGAAAACUUAACAGAAACGUAAACACACUUGGAACAGGCGGGAGAACCGUUUCCUCCCUGCAGUGGAGAUUAAUACUUUUUCAAGAUGAUCUACAUCCCUUUCCUGAACUGGAGGAGGCAGAGCCCACCCCUCACCAGGGAAGUGCAGCUGCCUGAUGCCCAGAUAGGGCACUGGGGCCUGGUGACCCCAGUUUGGCCAUUCCCACUCCUGCCCCAGACUUCUUUCUAGAAGCCAAUUAUCUGAAGAAGCUCCAGUCUGGCUGCAGGAGAAGGGAGGUGACUGCUACAUCUGGUUUCUGGACUUGGCACUGGUAGGGGACCCGGAGGUGGGUUGUUCACACUGGCUGUUGGGAGCCCUGUGUCCAGCCAGGCCUUCUGCUCCAUGGACAGCUUGCAGCAUUGCUCUUGGACGCCUUACCCCCAAAGCCUGGUUUAGUGGACAACUCAGUUUCUCUAAGCUCCCCCAUAUCUUUUACAUUUUUCUUUUCUUUUUCUUUUUUUGCUUCUUAGGGCCACAUGUGUGGCAUAUGGAAGUUCCCAGGCUAGGGGUUGAAUCAGAGCUGCAGCUGCCAGCCUAUGCCACAGCUGCAGCAAUGCAGGAUGCAAGCCAAGUCUGCGACUUACACCACAGCUCCCAGCAAGGUUGGAUCCUUAACCCACUGAGCAGGGCCAGGGAUCGAACCCGCCUCCUCAUGGAUACCAGUCAGGUGCAUUACUGCUGAGCCACAACGGGAACUCCCCUCCAUAUCCUUUCAUAUAAAACUUUGUUGUGGAAAUUUUCCAGUGUACAGAAAAUUGAAGAGAAUAGCAUAAUGAACCCCUGUGUACCUAUCACCCAGGCCACCAAUCAUUAAUAUUUUUCCAAUUAUUUCACCACUUCUGCUCUUCCUUUCACCUUUGUUUAAUUGUUUUGGGCUAAAGUAUUUUAAAAUAAACCCAAGAUACCAUGUUAUUCCACCAUAUAUAUUGCUGUGUGAUUUCUAAUGGAUAAAGACUCUUUUUUUCCCUAACAUGUCCAUAAUGUCAUUUUCUUACACAAUGGGAUGCAUCAUAAUUCUCAGUACAUCCCAAUAUUCAUGUCUGCUCAGAUCAUCAAGAAAUGCUUUGUCUUAAUUAUAAGACUUUGCCUAACACACUCUCCUUCUCUUCUAUCAUCUUGGCCCAUAAAAUAGAAACCCCAUCCCGUGGAGGUAUGGAGGGGAUACAUUUCUUCCUCUGUGUUCCCUCGCUUGGUGGAAGAGCAACUUACCAGAUAGGUGGAUUGGGAAUAAGGAACUGAAUGAGAGCCUUCGGCCUUCCAGGCAUCUCUCUAGGAUGGUCUGUCCCCAUAGCAGCUGCUAUCCACCCAGCUCAGUGUCCACCGGCUCAGCACAUGUGGCACCGGCCCCAGCCCUCCUUGCAGGGUGAGUCUGAAGGGUCGUCUCUCCCUUGAGGCGUGAGCAAGAGACCCUCAGUAAAUAGAUCUGCUCUGUAAAACCAAACUGUCCCCAGCUGACUCAUCCCGACGAAUGGUCUUGGAGCAAACCCCUAGGAAAUCUGGUUUGACAACGUCUAUGCUGCAGGAUCUAACUGGGUUGGCAAUAAAGCUGGUAUUCUCA
Long non-coding RNA from Sus scrofa (pig), 3009 nucleotides. RefSeq lists it as uncharacterized. NCBI's taxonomy places the organism in Eukaryota, Metazoa, Chordata, Mammalia, Artiodactyla, Suidae. The record is from RefSeq and is a predicted model, not a curated record.